UAUGGUAAUAUUUCUUUACCUAAUUGGCCUUAUUAUUUCCCUUAGAAGCUUUCAAACUCAGAGAGGCAAGAGCUUCGGUUUUGUGAUAGAUGUCUCCAAUAGGAAAAUAAGCAGGAUGAAUGUGCAGUGCCACAAGGGUCUGAAGAAUGAAAACAAGGAAAGGAUAAACCAUUUACACAGCUGUGGACAAGAGAAAGAAGAUACUGUUCUUGCUGUUGAUGGUUCUAUAAUCCUUCAGCUAGUUCUGCUAGUUCUUCCAACCCUGACAGUUCAAUAUCUCCCAUUUUGA
This is a long non-coding RNA of Pan paniscus (pygmy chimpanzee), 289 nucleotides long. Lineage: Eukaryota; Metazoa; Chordata; Mammalia; Primates; Hominidae. The record is from Ensembl.